RNAcentral lists this long non-coding RNA (205 nucleotides) under Lathyrus oleraceus (garden pea). RNAcentral describes it as "Pisum sativum (pea) long non-coding RNA (PSAT_LNC019350)". Lineage: Eukaryota; Viridiplantae; Streptophyta; Magnoliopsida; Fabales; Fabaceae. The record is from RNAcentral.
UAUUAAAGGUUGAUUUGAAUGUUAACUUAAUUAGAUGAUUAGGAGUUUAUUAGGCUUAUUAGACUUUCUAGAUUAUAUUAGAGAUUUUAGGAUUCAAUUUUAAUUAGAUCUUAGAAAUGUAGAAAAAAUAUAUAAAAUUUGAUUUAGUUUAAUAGAAUUUUUAGAAAUUUUGGAGUUCACUAAUUUCGAUUAAUUUUAGAAAUUA